UGUGAUAGCGCAAUCAAUCUUCAAAAGGACACAGAAAGUCUGCCCGCGAAUUACAACCGUUUGAUUGGCGUCACUUAAUUUACACUUUUGUUCUGCUCGUUUCCACCUGUGAACACAUCUAUUUAUUUGUUAUGUAUCAGUCAUUUAGUAUGACUUCGUCUGUCACGCUGUACUGAUGUGUUCGCAGCUAUGGCUUGCGAUGUUUCUUCGUUCUGCGCUACCGUUCUCACUUUCCGUUUUGACGCACAGAAUAUCUUUACGUGUGCAUGAUGUGGUUAGGGCACGAUGUCAGCGACGUAAUCGAUAUUUUGUACGCGGUUUUUGAGGAUGCAUAGCUUGAUGAAUCACUUGAGAAAGACCGAAAAUGCGGUUGAAACGUUGUGAAAUUUAAAUAUAUUUAUUAUUUGGCCAGUCGGGUCGAACAAAAACGACUUUUGUUU
This is a long non-coding RNA of Temnothorax curvispinosus, 440 nucleotides long. RefSeq lists it as uncharacterized. The transcript has 2 exons. Lineage: Eukaryota; Metazoa; Arthropoda; Insecta; Hymenoptera; Formicidae. The record is from RefSeq and is a predicted model, not a curated record.